AUUGAACGCUGGCGGCAGGCUUAACACAUGCAAGUCGAGCGGGGUGAUGGUGCUUGCACUAUCACUUAGCGGCGGACGGGUGAGUAAUGCUUAGGAAUCUGCCUAUUAGUGGGGGACAACAUCUCGAAAGGGAUGCUAAUACCGCAUACGUCCUACGGGAGAAAGCAGGGGAUCACUUGUGACCUUGCGCUAAUAGAUGAGCCUAAGUCGGAUUAGCGAGUUGGUGGGGUAAAGGCCUACCAAGGCGACGAUCGGUAGCGGGUCUGAGAGGAUGAUCCGCCACGCUGGGGCUGAGACACGGCCCAGACUCCUACGGGAGGCAGCAGGGGGGAAUAUUGGACAAUGGGGGGAACCCUGAUCCAGCCAUGCGGCGUGUGUGAAGAAGGCCUUAUGGUUGUAAAGCACUUUAAGCGAGGAGGAGGCUCUUUUGGUUAAUACCCAAGAUAAGUGGACGUUACUCGCAGAAUAAGCACCGGCUAACUCUGUGCCAGCCGCCGCAGUAA
RNAcentral lists this ribosomal RNA (503 nucleotides) under uncultured bacterium. Its description in RNAcentral is "partial 16S ribosomal RNA". It matches the Rfam family "Bacterial small subunit ribosomal RNA", at positions 30 to 523 of the family's 1533-position model. The record is from RNAcentral.